Musa acuminata AAA Group (dessert banana) is the source of this 2370-nucleotide RNA transcript. RefSeq lists it as uncharacterized. The record is from RefSeq and is a predicted model, not a curated record. Lineage: Eukaryota; Viridiplantae; Streptophyta; Magnoliopsida; Zingiberales; Musaceae. The transcript has 7 exons.
CAAUAUGUCUUCGGGCCUUCAUCCGCAUCCAAUAAAAAUGGCUCUCCCUUCCUCGAAUCCCAUCUUACGCGUUCUCGUUCGUGCUCUUAGGAUUUCUUCGGUCGAGGCAUGUGGAGAGGCUCUGGGUAUAUUCUUAACAAACUAAUGAUUUAUAGGAAAAGCUCUUUAUAUCUGUAACCUCAGGAUUUUCAGUAAAUGAAUGGAGACAUCAAGAGGUAUUCAUACAUAUGCUUCAGUCUCUAAAAACGACCAUGAAGACUAUUUUAUAGAAGACUUUGAAAAUGAUCUCUGGCCUGCUCCUGACAAGACUUGCACUUCAACACCAAGAUGCUCAAAGCAAGUUCCAUGUAAGUUUUCAACUGUCUCCAGAUUGUCAGAUGAAUAUGAUUCAGGUGACGAUCAUGGCCAUUUGGAACAGUCCAGAGCACAAAUUGAUGUGAACUUGAAAAAUGUGCUCGGUGGCAUAGUGGCUAUUCUCACUGGCAGGAACAAAGAAAGCAAUGGCAUUCAACCGCUACAAAGUCCUACCUCAAGUUCAUUAUUUUUGGGCUCUGAAGACAGUGGAGGCGGUUUCCUUCAUCCAUCUGUCUACAUACCAAGUGCACCACCUUUUCUUGAGGCAGAAGCUAUCAACUAUAAUGCUUAUCGGGCAGUUCUGGAAGCAGAUCCUCCAGAAUGGCUGCCAGAUAGUUGCACUGCUGCUUGUAUGCAGUGUGCUUCACCUUUCACAGCCCUUACUCGUGGAAGACAUCAUUGUCGAUUUUGUGGGGGUAUCUUUUGUAGAGCAUGCUCGAAAGGAAGAUGCUUGUUACCAGUCAAGUUUCGAGAGCGGGAUCCUCAAAGGGUGUGUGAUGCAUGCUAUGAUAAGCUUGAUCCUUUGCAGGGAUUAUUGAUCAACUCAAUUAGUAAUGCUAUGCAAUCAGCAAAGCAUGAUGUUAUGGACUGGACAUGUUCUAGAGGGUGGUUAAACCUUCCUGUGGGCUUAUCAAUGGAACACGAGAUAUACAAGGCAGCGAAUACUUUGAACAAUUAUAGCCAGGUUGCCAGAUUAAAUCCUGAAAGAUCUAUUCCUUUGGCAGUCUUGAGGGGAGCAAAAGGGCUUGCUAUUCUGACAGUUGCCAAAGUUGGUGCAUUUCUAACUUACAAACUAGGUACAGGCUUGGUUGUUGCAAAAAGGUCAGACGGAUCAUGGUCUGCACCAUCAUCCAUACUCUCUGUUGGUCUAGGAUGGGGAGCACAGAUCGGAGGAGAGCUGAUGGACUACAUCAUAGUGCUUCAUGGUUCUAAAGCAGUGAAGACAUUCUGCAGCCGUAUGCAUUUCUCCCUUGGGGCAGGACUGAGUGCUGCAGCAGGACCUGUUGGAAGAGUCUUAGAAGCAGAUCUUCGAGCUGGAGAUAAAGGAUCAGGAAUGUGUUAUACUUACAGCUGUAGCAAAGGUGCUUUUGUCGGAGUGUCGCUUGAAGGAAACCUAGUUGUGACCCGUCAGGAUGCUAAUACACGCUUCUAUGGUGAUCCUUAUCUGACUACUACUGACAUACUUGUGGGGACUGUAGAGCAACCGAAAGCCGCUCUGCCUUUGUAUGCUGCUCUGGAUGACCUUUGUUCGACGUUACAAUGUUAACAUUUUGUGCAAUUUGUUGUGCACACACAUCAUCUCUAUCAGACAUUUGAAACCCUAAUGAACACUUGGUCAUCAAGGAUGAUGCAUAGGGCGAUAAAUACUGGCCAGAUAUAGUUGGUACGGUUUUGGGUUUUGCACUGUAAUGUCAUCAAUACAUGACAUUUGACCUCAACACCUCAUCGAGGACGAUAAAUACUGGCCAGGUAUAGUUGGUAUGGUUAGGCGUUCUGCACUGUAAUGUCAUCAAUACAUGGUUUUCAACUUUGAGUAUUGGACUUAUAGAGAGCACAAGGAAGCAGUCGGUGACGGCAAAGAAAGAGGAAGAAAGGAAAAAGAAAAAGAAACAAAAGAGAAGGCGGUGAAGGAAAAUACAGAGUUUAGAAUGGCGUUUUAACUUUUAAGUGGAUCGGAUCGGACUAAGAUUGUCAAAUUUUUGAAUCAUACCAAUUAGGGCAAAAUUAAAAAUUCUGCUUGGAACAUAUUCUGCCUCCAAAAUUUCUGGAAGGCUUUCUCUUUUCUGAUUUUUGGCAAUUUGUACAUAAGUUUUCUACCUCAACUGCUGCUGGUUAAAUCUGAUGAGUAACUUCCCAACUGCGAUUCUGCAAAUGAUUAAAGUUGUCGCCAUUUUGUGAAGUAGAAGAGCAUUCAAGAUAUGGAGUUGGGAUGGUUUGAUCGCUUGUCUUAUCAAAGUCUGUCCUUCAUCAUGGAAACUGUGAGUUGUGUAAUCAAAAUGUAUGCUUCAUGCCUCA